This is a long non-coding RNA of Gopherus evgoodei (Goodes thornscrub tortoise), 829 nucleotides long. RefSeq lists it as uncharacterized. The record is from RefSeq and is a predicted model, not a curated record. The transcript has 3 exons. NCBI's taxonomy places the organism in Eukaryota, Metazoa, Chordata, Testudines, Testudinidae.
GGUAGCGCCCUCAGAAAUACCGCGUCGGUUGUGACCAAAACCAUAGCUGAGGGGCGUGGCCACACAUCCGAGCGGCCUAUGUGAGGCCCUAGGCGGGGCUGGAGGCCGCUUCAACAGUUAAGGCCCUGAUCUUGCAAAGAUGGAAAUUCUGGUGCAUAAGUCAAGCUUUCCUCGCUGUCUCUUAGGAUCAUACUCCUAAAGAUAAAGUGUACCGCUUCACCAAGAAAACCUGCUGGAGAACAUUUACCUUCCCUUUACUGCUUUUUAAUCCAACAUCGCAUCAGAAUCCACUGAAUGAACCACGUACAAUUCUGGCUACCAACAGAAUAAAGGUAGGAUCUAGACCUUUCAAAUCUAAAUAAAGACGGGGUUAAAAAAUAAAUGGGAGUGCUGGUAUUUGCAAUAAAAUUACUAAUAGAUACUUCAACUAGUAAUCUCUCCAUCAAAGAGCUAUCCCUGCCCUCUGCCACCUUUUAUAGUCUGCUAAUCCCAAUAAAUAGCUGUACAACAGUUAUUAAAUAUUUUGUGAGUAGCACCAUCAACCAAUGACUCACAAUUAAGAGUUUGAAUAGUGCCAAUGCAAAAUGCUGACUGUUGGGAAAAUACUCACUGUCAGCACCAAAUGGGUUACUUGGUACCAUGGGCAUUAGUACCCAAACUUCAUGAGCUGGCACAGAUCAAGAGAAUAUUUUAAAGCUGAGUAGGUUAGAGUCUGAUUUCCAGCUGGGUUGUGCACAGCAAUAUCUGUAUAGUACCAUAACAGGAAAUUCAUACCCACAUGGUAAGAAACAACAAGUUAGAAACAUAAAAAUACUCUCAGAAAUUUUGU